GAUGAACGCUGGCGGCGUGCCUAAUACAUGCAAGUCGAGCGAACGGACGAGAAGCUUGCUUCUCUGAUGUUAGCGGCGGACGGGUGAGUAACACGUGGAUAACCUACCUAUAAGACUGGGAUAACUUCGGGAAACCGGAGCUAAUACCGGAUAAUAUUUUGAACCGCAUGGUUCAAAAGUGAAAGACGGUCUUGCUGGCACUUAUAGAUGGAUCCGCGCUGCAUUAGCUAGUUGGUAAGGUAACGGCUUACCAAGGCAACGAUGCAUAGCCGACCUGAGAGGGUGAUCGGCCACACUGGAACUGAGACACGGUCCAGACUCCUACGGGAGGCAGCAGUAGGGAAUCUUCCGCAAUGGGCGAAAGCCUGACGGAGCAACGCCGCGUGAGUGAUGAAGGUCUUCGGAUCGUAAAACUCUGUUAUUAGGGAAGAACAUAUGUGUAAGUAACUGUGCACAUCUUGACGGUACCUAAUCAGAAAGCCCCGGCUAACUACGUG
This 497-nucleotide ribosomal RNA is filed under the name uncultured bacterium. RNAcentral's name for it is "partial 16S ribosomal RNA". It matches the Rfam family "Bacterial small subunit ribosomal RNA", at positions 28 to 507 of the family's 1533-position model. The record is from RNAcentral.